Molecule: ribosomal RNA, 466 nt
Filed under: uncultured bacterium
Lineage: Bacteria
Description: partial 16S ribosomal RNA
Rfam family: Bacterial small subunit ribosomal RNA
Source: RNAcentral
GAUGAACGCUGGCGGCGUGCUUAACACAUGCAAGUCGAACGAUGAAGCCCAGCUUGCUGGGUGGAUUAGUGGCGAACGGGUGAGUAACACGUGAGUAACCUGCCCUUAACUCUGGGAUAAGCCUGGGAAACUGGGUCUAAUACCGGAUAGGAGCGUCCACCGCAUGGUGGGUGUUGGAAAGAUUUAUCGGUUUUGGAUGGACUCGCGGCCUGUCAGCUUGUUGGUGAGGUAAUGGCUCACCAAGGCGACGACGGGUAGCCGGCCUGAGAGGGUGACCGGCCACACUGGGACUGAGACACGGCCCAGACUCCUACGGGAGGCAGCAGUGGGGAAUAUUGCACAAUGGGCGCAAGCCUGAUGCAGCGACGCCGCGUGAGGGAUGACGGCCUUCGGGUUGUAAACCUCUUUCAGUAGGGAAGAAGCGAAAGUGACGGUACCUGCAGAAGAAGCACCGGCUAACUACGUG